RNAcentral lists this unclassified non-coding RNA (145 nucleotides) under plant metagenome. RNAcentral's name for it is "partial contains 5.8S ribosomal RNA, internal transcribed spacer 2, and large subunit ribosomal RNA". The record is from RNAcentral.
CAGGCGAACGCAUCGACGAUGCGACCGUCCUCACGAAAGUAAAAACCGCCUUAAUCAAUGACCCUAUCAUCUCUGGAAUGCAGAUCGACGUCGAUGUGCAUCGCGGCACGGUUGUGCUGAACGGUGCGGUCGACAGUCCCUCCGU